RNAcentral lists this ribosomal RNA (587 nucleotides) under uncultured bacterium. Its description in RNAcentral is "partial 16S ribosomal RNA". It matches the Rfam family "Bacterial small subunit ribosomal RNA", at positions 355 to 1375 of the family's 1533-position model. The record is from RNAcentral.
UGGGGAAUUUUGGACAAUGGGCGAAAGCCUGAUCCAGCAAUGCCGCGUGUGUGAAGAAGGCCUUCGGGUUGUAAAGCACUUUUGUCCGGAAAGAAAUCCUUGGCUCUAAUACAGUCGGGGGAUGACGGUACCGGAAGAAUAAGCACCGGCUAACUACGUGCCAGCAGCCGCGGUAAUACGUAGGGUGCAAGCGUUAAUCGGAAUUACUGGGCGUAAAGCGUGCGCAGGCGGUUUGCUAAGACCGAUGUGAAAUCCCCGGGCUCAACCUGGGAACUGCAUUGGCGACUGGCAGGCUAGAGUAUGGCAGAGGGGGGUAGAAUUCCACGUGUAGCAGUGAAAUGCGUAGAGAUGUGGAGGAAUACCGAUGGCGAAGGCAGCCCCCUGGGCCAAUACUGACGCUCAUGCACGAAAGCGUGGGGAGCAAACAGGAUUAGAUACCCUGGUAGUCCACGCCCUAAAACGAUGUCAACUAGUUGUUGGGGGAUUCAUUUCCUUAGUAACGUAGCUAACGCGUGAAGUUGACCGCCUGGGGAGUACGGUCGCAAGAUUAAAACUUAAAGGAAUUGACGGGGUCAUAGCUGUUUCCU